This 1729-nucleotide ribosomal RNA is filed under the name Escherichia coli. RNAcentral's name for it is "partial 23S ribosomal RNA". It matches the Rfam family "Bacterial large subunit ribosomal RNA", at positions 1 to 1768 of the family's 2925-position model. The record is from RNAcentral. Lineage: Bacteria; Pseudomonadati; Pseudomonadota; Gammaproteobacteria; Enterobacterales; Enterobacteriaceae.
GGUUAAGCGACUAAGCGUACACGGUGGAUGCCCUGGCAGUCAGAGGCGAUGAAGGACGUGCUAAUCUGCGAUAAGCGUCGGUAAGGUGAUAUGAACCGUUAUAACCGGCGAUUUCCGAAUGGGGAAACCCAGUGUGUUUCGACACACUAUCAUUAACUGAAUCCAUAGGUUAAUGAGGCGAACCGGGGGAACUGAAACAUCUAAGUACCCUGAGGAAAAGAAAUCAACCGAGAUUCCCCCAGUAGCGGCGAGCGAACGGGGAGCAGCCCAGAGCCUGAAUCAGUAUGUGUGUUAGUGGAAGCGUCUGGAAAGGCGCGCGAUACAGGGUGACAGCCCCGUACACAAAAAUGCACAUGCUGUGAGCUCGAUGAGUAGGGCGGGACACGUGGUAUCCUGUCUGAAUAUGGGGGGACCAUCCUCCAAGGCUAAAUACUCCUGACUGACCGAUAGUGAACCAGUACCGUGAGGGAAAGGCGAAAAGAACCCCGGCGAGGGGAGUGAAAAAGAACCUGAAACCGUGUACGUACAAGCAGUGGGAGCACAGAGCAAUCUGUGUGACUGCGUACCUUUUGUAUAAUGGGUCAGCGACUUAUAUUCUGUAGCAAGGUUAACCGAAUAGGGGAGCCGAAGGGAAACCGAGUCUUAACUGGGCGUUAAGUUGCAGGGUAUAGACCCGAAACCCGGUGAUCUAGCCAUGGGCAGGUUGAAGGUUGGGUAACACUAACUGGAGGACCGAACCGACUAAUGUUGAAAAAUUAGCGGAUGACUUGUGGCUGGGGGUGAAAGGCCAAUCAAACCGGGAGAUAGCUGGUUCUCCCCGAAAGCUAUUUAGGUAGCGCCUCGUGAAUUCAUCUCCGGGGGUAGAGCACUGUUUCGGCAAGGGGGUCAUCCCGACUUACCAACCCGAUGCAAACUGCGAAUACCGGAGAAUGUUAUCACGGGAGACACACGGCGGGUGCUAACGUCCGUCGUGAAGAGGGAAACAACCCAGACCGCCAGCUAAGGUCCCAAAGUCAUGGUUAAGUGGGAAACGAUGUGGGAAGGCCCAGACAGCCAGGAUGUUGGCUUAGAAGCAGCCAUCAUUUAAAGAAAGCGUAAUAGCUCACUGGUCGAGUCGGCCUGCGCGGAAGAUGUAACGGGGCUAAACCAUGCACCGAAGCUGCGGCAGCGACGCUGAUGCGUUGUUGGGUAGGGGAGCGUUCUGUAAGCCUGCGAAGGUGUGCUGUGAGGCAUGCUGGAGGUAUCAGAAGUGCGAAUGCUGACAUAAGUAACGAUAAAGCGGGUGAAAAGCCCGCUCGCCGGAAGACCAAGGGUUCCUGUCCAACGUUAAUCGGGGCAGGGUGAGUCGACCCCUAAGGCGAGGCCGAAAGGCGUAGUCGAUGGGAAACAGGUUAAUAUUCCUGUACUUGGUGUUACUGCGAAGGGGGGACGGAGAAGGCUAUGUUGGCCGGGCGACGGUUGUCCCGGUUUAAGCGUGUAGGCUGGUUUUCCAGGCAAAUCCGGAAAAUCAAGGCUGAGGCGUGAUGACGAGGCACUGCGGUGCUGAAGCAACAAAUGCCCUGCUUCCAGGAAAAGCCUCUAAGCAUCAGGUAACAUCAAAUCGUACCCCAAACCGACACAGGUGGUCAGGUAGAGAAUACCAAGGCGCUUGAGAGAACUCGGGUGAAGGAACUAGGCAAAAUGGUGCCGUAACUUCGGGAGAAGGCACGCUGAUAUGUAGGUGAAGUCC